This 497-nucleotide ribosomal RNA is filed under the name uncultured bacterium. RNAcentral describes it as "partial 16S ribosomal RNA". It matches the Rfam family "Bacterial small subunit ribosomal RNA", at positions 28 to 507 of the family's 1533-position model. The record is from RNAcentral.
GAUGGACGCUGGCGGCGUGCCUAAUACAUGCAAGUCGAGCGAACAGACGAGGAGCUUGCUCCUCUGACGUUAGCGGCGGACGGGUGAGUAACACGUGGAUAACCUACCUAUAAGACUGGGAUAACUUCGGGAAACCGGAGCUAAUACCGGAUAAUAUAUUGAACCGCAUGGUUCAAUAGUGAAAGACGGUUUUGCUGUCACUUAUAGAUGGAUCCGCGCCGCAUUAGCUAGUUGGUAAGGUAACGGCUUACCAAGGCAACGAUGCGUAGCCGGCCUGAGAGGGUGAUCGGCCACACUGGAACUGAGACACGGUCCAGACUCCUACGGGAGGCAGCAGUAGGGAAUCUUCCGCAAUGGGCGAAAGCCUGACGGAGCAACGCCGCGUGAGUGAUGAAGGUCUUCGGAUCGUAAAACUCUGUUAUUAGGGAAGAACAAAUGUGUAAGUAACUAUGCACGUCUUGACGGUACCUAAUCAGAAAGCCACGGCUAACUACGUG